This 488-nucleotide ribosomal RNA is filed under the name uncultured bacterium. Its description in RNAcentral is "bacterial SSU rRNA". It matches the Rfam family "Bacterial small subunit ribosomal RNA", at positions 31 to 507 of the family's 1533-position model. The record is from RNAcentral.
GAACGCUAGCUACAGGCUUAACACAUGCAAGUCGAGGGGCAGCAUGGUCGAAGCUUGCUUCGACUGAUGGCGACCGGCGCACGGGUGCGUAACGCGUAUCGAACCUGCCCUAUACACGGGGAUAGCCUUGCGAAAGUAAGAUUAAUACCCGAUGCCAAGUUGAGAUCGCAUGAUUUUGAUUUGAAAGAAAUUCGGUAUAGGAUGGCGAUGCGUCUGAUUAGGUAGAUGGCGGGGUAACGGCCCACCAUGCCGACGAUCAGUAGGGGUUCUGAGAGGAAGGUCCCCCACAUUGGAACUGAGACACGGUCCAAACUCCUACGGGAGGCAGCAGUGAGGAAUAUUGGUCAAUGGUCGCGAGACUGAACCAGCCAAGUAGCGUGCAGGAUGACGGCCCUCUGGGUUGUAAACUGCUUUUAGUUAGGAAUAAAAGGCGGUACGUGUACCGCGUAUUGUAUGUACCAUCAGAAAAAGGACCGGCUAAUUCCGUG